GCCGCCAUGGUGAAAUUGGUAGACACGCUGGA
This 32-nucleotide transfer RNA is filed under the name Lilium lophophorum. Its description in RNAcentral is "partial tRNA-Leu". The record is from RNAcentral. Lineage: Eukaryota; Viridiplantae; Streptophyta; Magnoliopsida; Liliales; Liliaceae.